CCUACGGGUGGCAGCAGUGGAGAAUCUUGGACAAUGGGGGCAACCCUGAUCCAGCAAUGCCGCGUGGGUGAAGAAGGCCUUCGGGUUGUAAAGCCCUUUCGGCAGGGAAGAAAUCGGCGGGGCGAAUAACCCUGCUGGAUGACGGUACCUGCAGAAGAAGCACCGGCUAACUACGUGCCAGCAGCCGCGGUAAUACGUAGGGUGCGAGCGUUAAUCGGAUUUACUGGGCGUAAAGCGUGCGCAGGCGGCCCGUUAAGACAGGUUUGAAAGCCCUGGGCUCAACCUAGGAAUUGCGCUUGUGACUGGCGGGCUCGAGUACGGUAGAGGGGGGUGGAAUUCCUGGUGUAGCAGUGAAAUGCGUAGAGAUCAGGAGGAACACCGAUGGCGAAGGCAGCCCCCUGGGCCUGUACUGACGCUCAUGCACGAAAGCGUGGGGAGCAAACAGGAUUAGAUACCCUAGUAGUCAG
RNAcentral lists this ribosomal RNA (467 nucleotides) under uncultured Hydrogenophilus sp. RNAcentral describes it as "bacterial SSU rRNA". It matches the Rfam family "Bacterial small subunit ribosomal RNA", at positions 338 to 797 of the family's 1533-position model. The record is from RNAcentral. Lineage: Bacteria; Pseudomonadati; Pseudomonadota; Hydrogenophilia; Hydrogenophilales; Hydrogenophilaceae.